UACGAGGGGGGCGAGCGUUGUUCGGAAUUAUUGGGCGUAAAGGGUGCGUAGGCGGCCUGACAAGUCUGAUGUGAAAUCCCUGGGCUCAACCCAGGGCCUGCAUCGGAAACUGUCGGGCUUGAGUAUGGGAGAGGUGAGUGGAAUUUCCGGUGUAGCGGUGAAAUGCGUAGAUAUCGGAAGGAACACCUGUGGCGAAAGCGGCUCACUGGACCAUUACUGACACUGAGGCACGAAAGCUAGGGGAGCAAACAGG
Molecule: ribosomal RNA, 253 nt
Filed under: uncultured bacterium
Lineage: Bacteria
Description: partial 16S ribosomal RNA
Rfam family: Bacterial small subunit ribosomal RNA
Source: RNAcentral